UGCAGUCGAACGAGAAAGUCACUUCGGUGGCGAUUAAAGUGGCGCACGGGUGAGUAACGCGUAGACAAUCUGCCCUUCGGUCUGGGACAACUUUUCGAAAGGAGAGCUAAUACCGGAUAACAAUGCAUGACACAAGUCAUAUAUUUGAAAGCUUUAUGUGCUGAAGGAGGGGUCUGCGUCCCAUUAGCUAGUUGGUAAGGUAACGGCUUACCAAGGCGACGAUCUCUAGCUGUUCUGAGAGGAAGAUCAGCCACACUGGGACUGAGACACGGCCCAGACUCCUACGGGAGGCAGCAGUGGGGAAUAUUGCACAAUGGGGGAAACCCUGAUGCAGCCAUGCCGCGUGUGUGAAGAAGGCCUUCGGGUUGUAAAGCACUUUCAGUUGUGAGGAAAAGUUAGUAGUUAAUACCUGCUAGCCGUGACGUUAACAACAGAAGAAGCACCGGCUAACUCCGUGCCAGCAGCCGCGGUAAUACGGAGGGUGCGAGCGUUAAUCGGAAUUACUGGGCGUAAAGCGCACGCAGGCGGUUUGUUAAGCUAGAUGUGAAAGCCCCGGGCUCAACCUGGGAUGGUCAUUUAGAACUGGCAGACUAGAGUCUUGGAGAGGGGAGUGGAAUUCCAGGUGUAGCGGUGAAAUGCGUAGAUAUCUGGAGGAACAUCAGUGGCGAAGGCGACUCCCUGGCCAAAGACUGACGCCCAUGUGCGAAAGUGUGGGUAGCGAACAGGAUUA
RNAcentral lists this ribosomal RNA (730 nucleotides) under uncultured Alteromonas sp. RNAcentral's name for it is "bacterial SSU rRNA". It matches the Rfam family "Bacterial small subunit ribosomal RNA", at positions 56 to 780 of the family's 1533-position model. Lineage: Bacteria; Pseudomonadati; Pseudomonadota; Gammaproteobacteria; Alteromonadales; Alteromonadaceae. The record is from RNAcentral.